RNAcentral lists this ribosomal RNA (253 nucleotides) under uncultured bacterium. Its description in RNAcentral is "partial 16S ribosomal RNA". It matches the Rfam family "Bacterial small subunit ribosomal RNA", at positions 524 to 776 of the family's 1533-position model. The record is from RNAcentral.
UACGGAGGGAGCUAGCGUUGUUCGGAAUUACUGGGCGUAAAGCGCGCGUAGGCGGCUUUGUAAGUUAGAGGUGAAAGCCCGGAGCUCAACUCCGGAACUGCCUUUAAAACUGCAUGGCUUGAAUCCAGGAGAGGUGAGUGGAAUUCCGAGUGUAGAGGUGAAAUUCGUAGAUAUUCGGAAGAACACCAGUGGCGAAGGCGGCUCACUGGACUGGUAUUGACGCUGAGGUGCGAAAGCGUGGGGAGCAAACGGG